This 253-nucleotide ribosomal RNA is filed under the name uncultured bacterium. RNAcentral describes it as "partial 16S ribosomal RNA". It matches the Rfam family "Bacterial small subunit ribosomal RNA", at positions 524 to 776 of the family's 1533-position model. The record is from RNAcentral.
UACGUAGGGGGCAAGCGUUGUCCGGAAUCAUUGGGCGUAAAGAGCGUGUAGGCGGUUCGGUAAGUCUGCUGUGAAAGUCCAGGGCUCAACCCUGGAAAGCCGGUGGAUACUGUCGGACUAGAGUGCGGAAGAGGCGAGUGGAAUUCCCGGUGUAGCGGUGAAAUGCGCAGAUAUCGGGAGGAACACCGGUGGCGAAGGCGGGUCUCUGGGCCGAUACUGACGCUGAGGAGCGAAAGCGUGGGGAGCGAACAGG